RNAcentral lists this ribosomal RNA (768 nucleotides) under Clostridioides difficile. Its description in RNAcentral is "partial 23S ribosomal RNA". It matches the Rfam family "Bacterial large subunit ribosomal RNA", at positions 21 to 793 of the family's 2925-position model. Lineage: Bacteria; Bacillati; Bacillota; Clostridia; Peptostreptococcales; Peptostreptococcaceae. The record is from RNAcentral.
AGGGCGGAUGCCUUGGCACUAGGAGCCGAUGAAGGACGUGAUAAGCUGCGAUAAGCUUCGGGGAGUUGCACGUAAACUUUGAUCCGAAGAUUUCCGAAUGAGGAAACUCACUUAGAGUAAUGUCUAAGUAUCAUUAAGUGAAUACAUAGCUUAAUGAGGGGAACUCAGGGAACUGAAACAUCUAAGUACCUGAAGGAAGAGAAAGAAAUUCGAUUCCGUAAGUAGCGGCGAGCGAACGCGGAUUAGCCCAAACCAAUAAAGUUUUCUUUAUUGGGGUUGCGGACAUAUCAUAACGAAGAGGUAUCGUAAUUGAAGAGGUUUGGAAAGACCCACCACAGAAGGUAAUAGUCCUGUAUGUUAAACGAGAAGACUUCAGAUAUGAUCCAGAGUACCACGGGACACGUGAAACCCUGUGGGAAGCAGGAGGGACCACCCUCCAAGGCUAAAUACUACCUAGUGACCGAUAGCGUAUAGUACCGUGAGGGAAAGGUGAAAAGAACCCCGGGAGGGGAGUGAAAUAGAACCUGAAACCCUGCACUUACAAGCUGUGGAAGCACAUUUCUUGUGUGACCGCGUACUUUUUGUAGAACGGGCCAACGAGUUACGUUAAGUAGCAAGGUUAAGCACUUAAGGUGCGGAGCCGUAGCGAAAGCGAGUUUUAACUGAGCGUUCAGUUACUUGACGUAGACCCGAAACCGGGCGACCUACCCAUGAGCAGGAUGAAGCGAAAGUAAAAUUUCGUGGAGGUCCGAACCCACGAGCGUUGAA